CGGGGGCAUCAGUAUUCAGUCGUCAGAGGUGAAAUUCUUGGAUUGACUGAAGACUAACUACUGCGAAAGCAUUUGCCAAGGACGUUUUCAUUAAUCAAGAACGAAAGUUAGGGGAUCGAAGAUGAUCAGAUACCGUCGUAGUCUUAACCAUAAACUAUGCCGACUAGGGAUCGGGUGGUGCUACUUUGCCCACUCGGCACCUUACGAGAAAUCAAAGUUUUUGGGUUCUGGGGGGAGUAUGGUCGCAAGGCUGAAACUUAAAGGAAUUGACGGAAGGGCACCACCAGGAGUGGAGCCUGCGGCUUAAUUUGACUCAACACGGGGAAACUCACCAGGUCCAGACGUAAUAAGGAUUGACAAGUUAGAGACUUCUCUUGAUCUUACGGGUGGUGGUGCAUGGCCGUUUUUAGUCCUUGGAGUGAUUUGUCUGCUUAAUUGCGAUAACGGACGAGACCUUAACCUGCUAAAUAGGGCUGCGAGCAUCUGCUCGGGUGCUCUUCUUAGAGGGACUAUGGGUAUCAAACCCAUGGAAGUUUGAGGCAACAACAGGUCUGUGAUGCCCUUAGACGUUCUGGGCCGCACGCGCGCUACACUGACGGAGCCA
RNAcentral lists this ribosomal RNA (604 nucleotides) under [Candida] sp. Levazot19. RNAcentral describes it as "SSU rRNA". It matches the Rfam family "Eukaryotic small subunit ribosomal RNA", at positions 883 to 1514 of the family's 1831-position model. Lineage: Eukaryota; Fungi; Ascomycota; Saccharomycetes; Saccharomycetales. The record is from RNAcentral.